AUCUGCAUCUCUAACUCGCACAAUAUGAUAAAUGCACCCUUUUGCGAUCAUUUUCCGUGCGAAUUAGAGCGCUUGGUUGAAAGGAGCCCCUCCGGAGUCUACACACCCCUAGUGAUCACAGAUCUUGGUGUGUUUGAUCACGGAGGUCGUUGAGUUCGUGCGCCAUCGAGUACCGGAGACUACGAGAUUCCGAUAAACAUGAGUCAAGAAAGACCUUCAAAAUCCAAAAGAAAGACAGGCACGGCAUACAUAAAAGCUGGAACUAUGGCAUCUUUGGCAAACCAAAUAAGGAAUUCGUUUAGCCAAAAAUAUACUAUUCCUGCUAGACAAUCAAACAAAGAGCGCCCGAAUAUUAUUGAAGAGAAUCUGCUACUGUCACAAUGUCCAGGAGUAGUAACACAUGUACAAACUAGAUCAACCACUCUUGUAGUAGAAGUAGUAGAGGAACAAGUUCAACUGAAUUCUACAACUCCUAUCAGUGAUGAACAAUGUGAAGAACAAGGAUAAAUAUGAUAUUCAUGAAGCUGGAAAAAAAAUGGAUUUUGGAAACAGUCCAAGCUGCCUGGAAAAAGCACAAGAGUAGAUUGAAUAAAUACAACUUUGACGCCUAUGGCAAUGAUGACACUCGACGACUCCAUAUGCUUGAAGAUGUUCCAGCUUCUCGGUUUAAGAAACUCCUUAAAUAUUGGAACUCUGAAAAACUCCAGAGAAUUUCCAAAACUAAUAUUGAGAACCGAAAAAAGUUGAAGAAUCCUCACUCUACUGGGAAAAGAAGUUUUGCAUUAAUUCAAUCUAAGUUGGAAAAAGGCAAGGAAUCUUCGGAUCCUUUAUCUUCAAAGGAACUCUAUGUAGCUACAGGAAAAAGGAAACUUGGGCGAUCAUACAAGUGCUCGUAUGAAGAUACAACUAGCUGAAAUGGAGGAAAUUGAUGCAUAACAAAAUGAAAAUGGCAAUGAGUCCGUAGAGGCAUUUGCAUCUGUCAUGGGACCUGAACAUCCUAGACAUCGAAGUUGUAUGGACGGGGGGUUACAAGAACUUCUUUGUGAGAGAGUAGGAUAUUUUGAACCUUCUUCAAAUGCUACAAAUUCUCUGUAAUAAAUGGAGGAGAAGAUACAUAGAAUGGAGGGAAAAAUUGAGGAACAAAAGACAACUAUCCGUCAAGAAGUUGUUGCAGAUGUCCCUGCACGACUUCAAUGUUCCGAAAUUGAUAUUGAUGCUAACAUUAUUCUAGAGGCUUUGGGUGAUAAUUCACCGGCAGAAGCUUCCUCUGCACAAGAAACAACUUUGCAACCAAUCCGUCGUCCAUCUACUAAUAGCAAAAAGAAGGCCAGCUCAUUCCAGGGAUUAACUCGUUUACAAUGUAAUAGUUUUUGAGAGUUUCGGUAGGGGCGGGGGGUAGAAUUUUCUUAUAUACAUUGUUGUGAUCUGCAUAUAUUUAAAAAAAACAGCAUAUUUUGCUAAGAGAAAUCGGAGUUAGACUGUCCUCCCCUUCUUCUUCUUUUUUUUUGGGGGGGGGGGGAAUAAGGAGGCUGUCCUGCUCUAGUAUCUACCUUUGAAAGCCUCGAACAGUUUUAGAAGUUCAGUCGCGCUAGCAACCUCCCAAUCGUUUAGAAGUGUUCUGAAGGUGCAGCGAUUGCGGAUGAAAGCAGUGAUGAAGACCUUACUUGAGUGUUGUUGAUCGUUGUAAGACUUUCUAUUAUAAUGUUCAAGGAUAUUUUAGUUUAGAACUUUCUGUAUGCAAACUCAUCUAUUUUGAUUUUUGAAUUGUUGAUCAAACAAUGUAUUCAUACUUUGUUUUUGUAUAUGGAUAACGCUAGUUGGAUAUUUUAAUUUUAUUUCGUGGUUUAUAUAA
This is a non-coding RNA of Nicotiana tabacum (common tobacco), 1852 nucleotides long. Lineage: Eukaryota; Viridiplantae; Streptophyta; Magnoliopsida; Solanales; Solanaceae. The record is from RefSeq and is a predicted model, not a curated record.